This 696-nucleotide ribosomal RNA is filed under the name uncultured bacterium. RNAcentral's name for it is "bacterial SSU rRNA". It matches the Rfam family "Bacterial small subunit ribosomal RNA", at positions 637 to 1328 of the family's 1533-position model. The record is from RNAcentral.
UUAGCUUGAGUACUGUAGAAGAAGGCGGAAUUCCUGGAGUAGCGGUGGAAUGCACAGAUAUCAGGAAGAACACCAAAAGCGAAGGCAGCCUUCUAGGCAGUUACUGACACUCAGGAGCGAAGGUGUGGGGAGCAAACAGGAUUAGAUAUCCUGGUAGUCCACACAGUCAACGAUGAUCACUAGGUUUUGGUGGGAUUAAAAUCCAUCAGAGCUAAAGCCAAAGUAUUAAGUGAUCCGCCUGGGGAGUACGUCCGCAAGGAUGAAACUCAAAGGAAUUGACGGGGACCCGCACAAGCGGUGGAGCAUGUUCUUUAAUUCGAUGCAACACUAAGAACCUUACCUGGGAUUGACAUCCGUGGAACCGCUAUGAAAGUAGCGAGUGCUCACUUUGUGAGAACCACGUGACAGGUACUGCAUGGCUGUCGUCAGUUCGUGUCGUAAGAUGUUGGGUUAAGUCCCGUAACGAACGCAACCCCUGUCUUUAGUUGCCAGCAUUAAGUUGGGGACUCUAGAGAGACUGCCAAGGUGACAACUUGGAGGAAGGUGGGGAUGACGUCAAGUCAUAUGGUCCUUACAUCCAGGGCGAGAAACGUGCUACAAUGGUUGGUACAAUGGGGAGCAAAAUCGCAAGAUUGAGCAAAUCCUCAAAACUAAUCUCAGUUCGGAUUGGAGUCUGCAACCCGACUCCUGAAGUUG